UACGUAGGGUGCAAGCGUUGUCCGGAAUUAUUGGGCGUAAAGAGCUCGUAGGCGGUCUGUCGCGUCGGGGGUGAAAACCCAGGGCUCAACCCUGGGCCUGCAUUCGAUACGGGCAGACUAGAGUUCGGUAGGGGAGACUGGAAUUCCUGGUGUAGCGGUGAAAUGCGCAGAUAUCAGGAGGAACACCGGUGGCGAAGGCGGUUCUCUGGGCAUGACCUGACGCUGAGGAGCGAAAGUGUGGGGAGCGAACAGG
Molecule: ribosomal RNA, 253 nt
Filed under: uncultured bacterium
Lineage: Bacteria
Description: partial 16S ribosomal RNA
Rfam family: Bacterial small subunit ribosomal RNA
Source: RNAcentral